CAACUUUGAAAUCUGGCACCUUCGGUGUCCGAAUUGUAGUCUCUAGAAGUGUUUUCCGUGCUGGCCCAUGUGUGAGUCUGUUGGAACACAGCGUCAUAGAGGGUGACAACCCCGUUCAUAACAUGGACCCCAGUGCUUUGUGAUACACUCUCGACGAGUCGAGUUGUUUGGGAAUGCAGCUCAAAUUGGGUGGUAAAUUCCAUCUAAAGCUAAAUAUUGGCGAGAGACCGAUAGCAAACAAGUACCGUGAGGGAAAGAUGAAAAGCACUUUGGAAAGAGAGUUAACAGUACGUGAAAUUGCUAAAAGGGAAACGAUUGAAGUCAGACGUGCGUGAUGCAGUUCAGCUCUGGUUCGCCAGAGUGUAUUCUGUGUCUUUGCAGGCCAACAUCGGUUUCACGAGGCGGAUAAAGGUUUGAGAAAUGUGGCAGCUUCGGCUGUGUUAUAGUCUCUUGCUGAAUACGCCUCGAG
Molecule: ribosomal RNA, 469 nt
Filed under: Occultifur sp.
Lineage: Eukaryota; Fungi; Basidiomycota; Cystobasidiomycetes; Cystobasidiales; Microsporomycetaceae
Description: partial large subunit ribosomal RNA
Rfam family: Eukaryotic large subunit ribosomal RNA
Source: RNAcentral